RNAcentral lists this ribosomal RNA (390 nucleotides) under uncultured bacterium. RNAcentral describes it as "bacterial SSU rRNA". It matches the Rfam family "Bacterial small subunit ribosomal RNA", at positions 28 to 408 of the family's 1533-position model. The record is from RNAcentral.
GACGAACGCUGGCGGCGUGCUUAACACAUGCAAGUCGAGCGGGAUCCAACCGGUGGCAACACCGGGGAAGAUCUAGCGGCGAACGGGUGAGUAACACGUGAGCAACCUGCCCCGAAGACUGGGAUAACACCGGGAAACCGGUGCUAAUACCGGAUGUCGUCAUUAGGCCGCAUGACCUGAUGAUGAAAGGAUUCAUCGCUUCGGGAGGGGCUCGCGGGCUAUCAGCUUGNGGUGGGGGUAACGGCCUACCAAGGCGACGACGGCUAGCUGGUCUGAGAGGACGACCAGCCACACUGGGACUGAGACACGGCCCAGACUCCUACGGGAGGCAGCAGUGGGGAAUCUUGCGCAAUGGGCGAAAGCCUGACGCAGCGACGCCGCGGUGGGGGA